UAUCGAUAAACUGAAAUUUCUCAUGUAUUUAUCCAUUUUAUAGAUUAUAUAAUCAGAAAUUUUUAAUUUCUGUGUCAUAAAUUCCAAAAUGAAUUGAAGGAAUAUCAGUUAAAUAAAUGUAGGUCAAUUUAGUUCCGACAUGUUGGCAAUAUAGCUUUCUGCUCUCUGCCUGCAACCAACCGUGUCAAAACAACAACUGUAGGAUCUUAGAGAAUAUUUUAAAGUUUCCUUGAUAAUUAUUGUAAUGCUAAAGUAUUUUUGUUCAAAAUAACAAUUAUUCAACAUAAUUUUUUAUUUUCUAAUUGCGUAAAUGUGCUUUUAGUGCUACAUUUAUCUUACUACAAACGUAAGUGCUCUUGACUCCAGCAGACCUUUCUGCUCUGUCUGUCUACUGUCUUGUCUUGUCAAAACAACUACAGCCGGAUUUUAGUGUUAAUUUUUUAAAGUUUCCUUGAUAAUAAUGAAUUAUUGUAAUUCUAAAGUAUAUCUGUUAGAAAUAACAGUAUUUCAACAUUUUUUUAGUUUCUAAUUACGUGAAUGUGCUACAUUUAUCUGAAUCCACAAACGUAAGUGCUCUUGACAAUGAACUGAUGCAGUUAAACGUUGACUGAAUUUUCGUUCUAUCUACAUUUUAGGUGUGGCAGCAACGCAUCGAUUGGAGCUUGGCUACUGAUUCACUCCUGUCAUGGACCACAGCUUUCUAGUAUGGCAUUUGACAGGUGUGAACCAACAAAUUGGUGGAGGAGAGGAAGAGGAGAUACUUGAGACGAGUUGUGCAAUGUAUUGGUGAAGCCUAGCAGCUUGGCACCUUGGUCUGAUGGAGCACACCCUUCAUCGCAGUGCGGACAGCGUGAGUGAGUCGACAGGCUUCUUCUUCUUCUUCUUCUGCUUCGUUCUCCGUAUCUCUUCUGCUACAUCAUUCUUAUAGCUGGAAGCUGACGACGAUUUGACGUUGUUUCACAAAACUGUGAGUUAGUUCUAGAUUUACCCCAGUUUGCACAAACGUCUGUUAACUUAUAAUGCCGAUUAAAUGCAGAUUGAUGAUUUAAUUUGAUUACAAUAAAAAUCUACAGACUGCAAAACUUAAAUUUAAUUAAGUGUGUAGAUUUAAGAUUCAAGAUUUUGUGUAGAAAUUGAAAUGAACAUAACCUAUGUAUAAUACCAUAGAGAAACAAUAGCGUAAGUAGAUAUCCCAUUGUAUAGGGAAUUUAUGUCGCAACUUUUACUGUUAUCUCAAGCCGAUU
Molecule: long non-coding RNA, 1244 nt
Organism: Nilaparvata lugens (brown planthopper)
Lineage: Eukaryota; Metazoa; Arthropoda; Insecta; Hemiptera; Delphacidae
Exons: 4
Source: RefSeq, a predicted model, not a curated record